AAAGCGUGCGCAGGCGGUUAUGUAAGACAGAUGUGAAAUCCCCGGGCUCAACCUGGGAAUGGCGAUGGAGACUGCAAGGCUAGAGUUUGGCAGAGGGGGGUAGAAUUCCACGUGUAGCAGUGAAAUGCGUAGAUAUGUGGAGGAACACCGAUGGCGAAGGCAGCCCCCUGGGUCAAAACUGACGCUCAUGCACGAAAGCGUGGGGAGCAAACAGGAUUAGAUACCCUAGU
This 230-nucleotide ribosomal RNA is filed under the name uncultured bacterium. RNAcentral describes it as "partial 16S ribosomal RNA". It matches the Rfam family "Bacterial small subunit ribosomal RNA", at positions 562 to 791 of the family's 1533-position model. The record is from RNAcentral.